This 723-nucleotide ribosomal RNA is filed under the name uncultured bacterium. RNAcentral describes it as "bacterial SSU rRNA". It matches the Rfam family "Bacterial small subunit ribosomal RNA", at positions 63 to 766 of the family's 1533-position model. The record is from RNAcentral.
CGAACGCGAAGCCCCGCAAGGGGCAAGUAGAGUGGCAAACGGGUGAGUAACACGUGGGUGACCUGCCUUCGAGCGGGGGAUAACGUCCCGAAAGGGACGCUAAUACCGCAUAACAUCCUGCCUUUGAAGAGGCGGAGAUCAAAGCUGGGGAUCGCAAGACCCGGCACUUGAAGAGGGGCCCGCGUCUGAUUAGCUAGUUGGUGGGGUAACGGCCUACCAAGGCAACGAUCAGUAUCCGGCCUGAGAGGGCGGACGGACACACUGGGACUGAGACACGGCCCAGACUCCUACGGGAGGCAGCAGUGGGGAAUUGUUCGCAAUGGGCGCAAGCCUGACGACGCAACGCCGCGUGGAGGAUGAAGAUUUUCGGAUCGUAAACUCCUGUCGAAUGGGACGAACAGAUUGCGGGUUAACAGCCUGUAGUCCUGACGGUACCGUUAAAGGAAACCCCGGCUAACUCCGUGCCAGCAGCCGCGGUAAUACGGGGGGGGUAAGCGUUGUUCGGAAUUACUGGGCGUAAAGGGCUCGUAGGCGGCCAACUAAGUCAUACGUGAAAUCCCUCAGCUUAACUGGGGAACUGCGUGUGAUACUGGAUGGCUUGGAUUUGGGAGAGGGAUGCGGAAUUCCAGGUGUAGCGGUGAAAUGCGUAGAUAUCUGGAGGAACACCGGUGGCGAAGGCGGCAUCCUGGACCAAUAUUGACGCUGAGGAGCGAAAGCUAGGGG